UUGUAUUUGGUGGAACUGGCUGUGGAGUAUUAGGUAGAUUGUGAUAUGGUGAAUUCUUUGUUAGACACGACAUUACGAGCUCCUCCUUCGCAGCAGUACAUGGAUUUUUUCUACAUAAAUCUCAUGAGUCCAUUAUGCCUUACGUAUCUGAACCUAUGAUUCUAGAGAAGAUAUAAUAUACUUCUGGAUUACACAAGGUAAAAUCCUCUUUCACUAACCCUUUCAACUUUCAAAUAUUGUCAGUUGGGGCUCACAAAAUAGAUUGAGUUGAUUUUGUUGUUCUUUUGUGCUAUCUGGACAGAGCUUAUUGUUUUAUUCCAUUCUUAGUCUACUGAUGGUAAAUGAUAUAUGGAAAAUCAACAUUUCAAGAUAAAUAAAAUGCCCCCAGUAUGUUUGUGUUCACAUGAUUACUGGCUCAUGUUUCUUUUAUGUGAUGCCAGGCUACUGUUUGAUGUUCUCUUUGUUGCUCUCACUUUGGUUAUAUACUACUAAAGCUUCAUAUAAUUUUCAUUUAGAUUUGGUGUUGUUAGCAUUAGACGGUGUACAUCAAAUAUGAAAGUAGGGCCAAGCAUCAAAGGCAAGGUGAAGGAAGGUGCCUGUGUGGUUCUUCUGCAGCUCGCAGCGAGGAUUGCUGUGUCCAACCUGCACAAGAAUGCCAAGAAGUCCUUGGAGACGUCCUCGCUGUGUCCAACCUGCACAAGAAUGCCAAGAAGUCCUUGGAGACGUAAGCCACGGCGCAUAUUUCUGCCAUGAUUUCCUUCGUCUGGAUUUAAUGGAUUUAGGUGUUGAAAAAUUAUGGGUUGUGGAUGCAGGAUUAAGGACAUGUACCUGCACUACAACGAGAGAUCUGGGCUGCUUCUUUGUGGCUUCCAAACUUGAAAUGUUUGUUUGGAAGUUAGUUUAGUUUUUUGUUGUGGAUUCACAUCUUCUCACAUGUACCAUCCGCUUAGACCUUUAGAUUUCCAAAGAAACUAAAUGAAGAUAUGGUGGUAUGGUUUCAUUUGUACAACUUAAAGCCUUUCAUGCUCUAUAUUUUCUCUGAAAUUUGCUCUUGAAGAAUCAUGUAUCUAUGUUACAUUCGGUGAGGAAAGGCGGCUUCAAAGCAGAGGAUUCGGGAGUGUUGGCCACAUUUGGUUUUCGACUUGGGUGUCUAAAUAUUCUCACAAUACUUGGCUCCCUCUUGACCUUUGCGCCAUUGGCGCAACGAGUCAUCUAGUAGAAAUUAGAACCGAGGGCCUUUUAAAAUGAGUCCUGUAUAAUAGUGUUGUUCAGUGGGAUGCAGAAUUUUUGUUCGUCUGAUCGGCUAUCCUUGAUGCUGAUUAAAGUACUGAUUUCAUCAUCAUAUGACUACAAUAAAGAAGUUGUGUGUAUAAAUAUUACUAACUGCUGAUAUUUUGCAUCAGUGAUUUCAAUUCGGUUGGCCCUCUUCAAGAUUUCUUGGGAAUGUGACUUACAAAUUUCAACCCUGUGCAAUGUGCUUCUCGGGUGUGGAUUUGUGUCUGACUAAUUAAUGGUUCUGUUAAUACUGAUAUGUCUUUGAAAAUUAUAUGCGUAUUGCAUCG
This 1562-nucleotide long non-coding RNA is filed under the name Triticum aestivum (bread wheat). RNAcentral describes it as "long non-coding RNA (TAES_LNC012079)". Lineage: Eukaryota; Viridiplantae; Streptophyta; Magnoliopsida; Poales; Poaceae. The record is from RNAcentral.